GUCGCACACCGGACGAGAAGCGCAGCGCCCCGUCUAGGACAACUCGAGGUAUCGCACACCGGACGCGCACAUUCUAUACGCGCGAGUUCAAUUUCGAAUCAAGUUCUGAGCUGCAAGAUGGAUCAAAUGUUGUCUGACAACAAAAAAACGACUGAACUGCUACUUUUACGUCGAAGAAUA
Long non-coding RNA from Sinocyclocheilus rhinocerous, 180 nucleotides. RefSeq lists it as uncharacterized. The record is from RefSeq and is a predicted model, not a curated record. The transcript is spliced from 2 exons. NCBI's taxonomy places the organism in Eukaryota, Metazoa, Chordata, Actinopteri, Cypriniformes, Cyprinidae.